This 5106-nucleotide long non-coding RNA is filed under the name Rattus norvegicus (Norway rat). Its description in RNAcentral is "long non-coding RNA NONRATT033630". Lineage: Eukaryota; Metazoa; Chordata; Mammalia; Rodentia; Muridae. The record is from RNAcentral.
CAUGUCUCCUUUUAAGUGCCUGAAUCCAAUUCCUACAACUCUGGUGAACUGGACCACAGAGGGGAGGUUCCCUCCCACAUGCUAGCUAACAAAAACCGCUCGGCAGUGGGCCCAGCAUCACGUGAUGCGACUCUAGAAAACGCUUGCUUUGGCCUGAUGACAUGCCCAUCUUUCUCGUGGAUGGCAAGUGCUUCUUGGAAGAGAGGAGCAGUUGGGGAAGCCAUCUCUACGAAGCGGUGCAUGCUUCACAGCAAAUUCUUUGCUGUGAUUUUGAAGUUUUCUCUAGUUGGAAAACGUCUCAGACAGGACCGAAGAGUGAGUUGCCCCUUCCGGAAGCGUCUGUGCAGAGCUGGAAUUACUCGAGUGAAAUUCAUCAUCAGAGGGUCACAGCAUUCUCACUUUGAUAGUUGGGUUAGCCUGGUUUUUGUGCCUGUUGAUGUAAUAGAGGCUACAUCAAAAAGCAUCUUGGGGAGGUAAGGUUUAUUUCAACUUACACUUCUAGGUAACAGUCGGUCACUGAGUAAGGUCCAGGGCAGGAACUCCAGGCAGGAACCUGGAGGCAGGAUCUGAAGCAGAAGCCACGAGGGUGUUGCUUACUGGCUUGUUUCUUAUUACUUGCUCAGCCUGCUUUCUUAUAUGACCCAGGACUACAUGCUCAGGAGUGGCACCAUCCACAGUGAGCUGACCCCCCCACCCAAAUCAUUCAUCCAGAAAAUGCUCCACAGACUUGCCUAGAGAAAUUCGGAUGGGGCGUUUUCUUAAUAUUCCCAAUUCUCAGAUAUAUCUAAGUUUAUGUGGUGAUUUGAAUGAGAACGGUCCCCAAAGGUUUAUAUAUUAUUUGAGUGCUUGGACUGCUGCUGUUGGUGGUGUUUGAGAAGAAUUAGGAGGUGUGGGCCUAUUGGAGAAGAUGUGUUAACUGUGGGCUGGCUUUGAGGCCUCGAAAGCCCAUGUUAUUUUGUUAGCUGUCUGCCUCCUGGUUGUGGGUCAGAUGUGAGCUCUCAGCUGUUUCCGUGCCGUGGACUCACCCUCAGAAACGAAAUCCCACUGGAUGCUUUCCUCUAUAAUUUGAUUUGGUCCUGGGGCUUUGUCACAGCAGUAGAAAAGUAAAUAAGGCAGUUUGUACCAAGUUGACAAAAACUAACGUGCAGUGUUUCACUUCAGCUAAAUGAAGACUCCCUUUUUACUUCAACACUAACCUCUAAAAAUAUUUGUGGUCAGAUGUAUUAAAAUACACACACAAGGUUAUAGACGAAGUUAUUGGGGAGAGGGACACAAAACAGUAUAGGCAGAAGUAAAAAAAAAAUCUUACAAAUGAGUGAUUUCCAAUUUUGUUGUCUGGCAAAAUUAAUUUAUUUAUACGCGUCUCACUCUUUUUUAAUCCAGGCCAGCCUAACUUUCAGCCAUCUUGUCUCAGCUCUUCCAGUGCUGGCUUGCGGGAGUGACGUGGUGUGGUGUUCUGAAGGCGAAUGCUCCACAUAGGCUCACGGAUUUGAAUAUCUGGUCACCGUUUGGUGGUGAUGUUUGGGUGUGUUGAGAAGGUGUGCUAGAGGAAGAGCGUCACUGGGCUGGGCUUUCAGAGUGUAAGACUAACGCCAUUUGUAGGUUGUUCUCUCUGCUUCAUGCCUGUGGGUCAGGCUGUGAGCCUGCUGCUCCGGCUGCCACGCCUGGCACUUCCCCGUGAUGUGAUGGGAUCUUGUGACUCUGGAGCCAUCAGCCCAGACAAACCUUUCCUACACAGCCUUGUCGUGGCGUCUAUCACAGUUAUAGAUGGGUAACUAAUGCAACCACACCCGGGGCUGGCAGGACUCUGGAGAAGUAAAUGCUGGGAUUCAAACCCUGGCAAAUUUCUCAUUGAUCUCUGCUUAUUUAAGAAAGGAAGAGAGCCAGAUCGAAUAUGACGGAAAUGAAUUACUGUAGAGUGGCAAGUGGCUGAUAAGAAACAAAAGCUAAAUAAAAUAAAUCCUAGAUUUAAAGAUGCAUUAUGGGUAGGUAAGAUGAUAUCAGUGAGGUUCAUUUGGGUAAGUUACUCAUCCCCCCUACCCAAAAAACAAAACAAAACAAAAGAGGAACAUUAGACAUACAGAGUGGCGGCCUAUGCCUUUCCUGUGUGUGUGAGCAAUGUUUAUUGGUAUUCGUAGUCUGUGUGGGUGCUCACCACUGUCACUGAGGCAGCAUUUCUCAAUGGACCCUGAAGCUCAUGGACAUGACUGGUCUGGUUGGCCAGCUUGCUCUGGAGACCCUGGCUCUGCUUUCUAAUGCUAGGAUUACAAAUGAACUCCACACUUGCCUGACAUUUAUUCUGGGUGUACAAACUCUGGUCUUCAUUCCACAGCAACCCUGUAGUUUUCAAACCAUCUCCUGGGUUGGGGAUUUAGCUCAGUGGUAGAGCGCUUGCCUAGCAAGCGCAAGGCCCUGGGUUCGGUCCCCAGCUCUGAAGAAAAAAAAAAAAAGAUCUGUAGUCAAACCAUCUCCUUAGCCCAAACAGCUCGUUAAAAAUAAUCUUUUUAUUUGAAAAUUUCAUACAUGUAAUAUGUUUUUGACCUUACCUACCCUACUUCCCUCUACCUUCCCCCAGAGACCUUCAAAUCCAUUUUCCUCUCAACUUCAUGUCCUCUUAAAAUUAUUAGAGUCUUGACCAAUUAUUAUUUUAAGAUUUAUUUCUAUUACUUUUAGAUAUCUAUGCGUGUGUCUCUGGGUGAGUUGUGUACGUGUGAGUGCACGUACUCAACAAGGUCAGAAGUGGGAGAUUUCCCUGGAGCUUAGAGAGUUGUGAGCCACUCAGUCCGAGUGCUGGGAGUCAAACUUGGGUCCUUAGAAAGAGCAGUAUAUGUUCCUAACCACUGACCCAUCUUUCCAGCUCCUGAGUCUAGUUGCUGUUGGCCCUGUGUACAUGGGUGUGAGGCCACCCACUGGGGUGAGUCAUGACCACAAAGGAAAGCUACUCUCAUUCUUCAGCAGCUCUCAACUGUCGGUAGCUCCUGAGUGAUCCCCCAGGGGUCGCUUUGCCAGCCUUGCUGGAACUCUGACUGGCUUGCUCACACAAGUCCUCAUAGCUUAUUUUCAGUGUUUGAACUAAUGAUGUUUCCAGAUAUGUGUUUCCAAUAGAGGCACAUCAUGCAGCUUUGGCCAAGAUAGUUCCUGUAAAACUAUGAAGAGGCAAGACAAAUAUGAAAAACACAUUGCUGUCAUUAAUAUCAGAGAUUCAUAUUAAAAAUAAAUCCAUUUCCACUAACUAUGAUAGCUGCAACACAAAGUACAGUACCUGAUGCAGGUGAGUAAAAACGGCAACGAAUAAAUAUGUGUUAUUCAAAAAGGGAAAAAUUUUACUUCUUGGCAUUAUCAAAGAAAACCAUGAAAGGUUUGCUGGAAAGAAUAAAUAUGUGUGGAUCCAGCCAUCUCACUCUCCAAAACUGUAAACAUUUGCAAAAUUUUCCUUCAUCUAUUAAUAUAUCUGCAGAGCAGCCAGCCCACACAGACCUGGGGCACUCACAUGUCAGAAUAUUCCAUAAAGAUCUGGGAACAGAUAUUUUUGGCAGAAAGAAAUACUUAAUGUGCCGAGAAUGACUGCCUACGAAGUAAUUCAGGGUUACAGACUGAGUCAGGGACUCCUUGCAAUGACGAGUGUCAGUCUACAACAUUCCUCACAACGUUCGAAUCGUUGAUUACAGACUUGUCCAACAAGAGGAGCUCUUUUUGUUUUCUGUUGCCAAAUAGGUGGCAAAAUAUGAAGGGGAGGUAACAGCGAACUUCUAAAGCUGCUUCACAACACUAUCUUAAUGCCUGUUUUUUACAGUGAAGGAGAGCUAGGUGUGGUGGCCCUUGCCUGUAACCCCAGCACUGGAGAGGCUUCACUGACCUGGUAAAUUCCAGGUCUAUGUGAGAUUUAACAUCUUUAAAAAACGGAGGAGCAUGGCUCCAGGGGAACGCCACCCAAAGCUGCUGUCUGCGUGCCAACUGUGGACGGACAGAAGACAGACAGAUAGACAGUUUCUCUCAGCACUUUCCCCUGUGCAAUGAACCUUCAGAGUUGAUCCCGAACGGCAGCCCCACGAACAGGAAAGGUUGAUCAAACCUUUUAUACCUCAGUGGCUGUGGGCAGCCCUGAAUGUCCUUUUAGAAGCCAUCAGACAAAAUCUAAACAUGUCAUCUGUGGGCUUAUUCGUGGGUUUCUGAAAUCUGCCGUUUUUGUAGAUGGGAGGUUGCAUCCAAGUCCAUUUUGUGCCCUUUCCUCUACAUACCUGCUCAGCUAUCACUUCCUGCCAGAGGUCUUCUCUGAUCAUCAUCUCCAGCCAGGCCUCACCCUCAAAAUAUUCUCAUCAUUGCUUGCCGCUGAGUUCACGACAAUCCAUCAUUACCUUGUUUAUCUGCUCAAGUUCACCUACUCAAUUAGAAGGCAAAUUUCCCCAAGAGCAGGAUCAGGGCUUCCUGUGCUUUGAACUUUGAACGGGGGCUUCCUCAGAUACUCUGGGAUUAAAGUACACGCCUAUGAUUUGACUGACUCACUCACGCGCUCGCUCUCUGUCUUCUUCUUCUUCCUCUCUCUCUCCCUCCCUUCCUCCCUUUUUUUCUCUCUCUCUCUCUUCCUUCCCCUACCUCUCUCCCUGUGUGUGUGUGUGUGUGUGUGUGUGUGUGUGUGUGUGUGUGUGUGUGUGUGUGUGGUGUGCGUGUUGUGUACAGGUCUCACUGUGAUAAUUCAAACUCCUUCAGUCUGCCAAGGCUCCAGGGUACCAGUGACAACGGACCUACAGUAUCACACCUGUUUUUAUGCUGGGAAUGGCACCCAGGGCUACAGGUGCGCUAAGUAAGCACCCGAUUAACUGCGUACAGCCUCAGCUGUAAAUUUCUUUAAAAACAGGUAUUUCCAUUUCCUUCGGCCACAUCCACCCUCCACGUCCUUUCCCACUGACUGCGCGCCAGGUGCCUCGCUUACCCAAAACCUCCCACCAGACCGUUUAGAAGCCACCUGGUUCAGUACGGUUACGAAACGCUCGGAUACCAGCGCUCGGGACCAGGCCUGGCUUGAGCCGGUGCGUGCCCAGCGUGUCGCCCUUCCUGUCAGCCGCUCCAUCAUCUGGUGCGAGCCAGGCGCUCCGCGGUCCAGCCAGU